UACAGAGGUCCCGAGCGUUGUUCGGAUUCACUGGGCGUAAAGGGUGCGCAGGUGGCUUGGCAAGUUUGAUGUGAAAGCUCAGGGCUUAACCCUGAAAUGGCAUUGAAUACUGUUGAGCUGGAGGUUUGGAGGGGGGACUGGAAUUCUUGGUGUAGCAGUGAAAUGCGUAGAUAUCAAGAGGAACACCAGUGGCGAAGGUGAGUCCCUGGACAACACCUGACACUGAGGCACGAAGGCCAGGGGAGCAAACGGG
Molecule: ribosomal RNA, 253 nt
Filed under: uncultured bacterium
Lineage: Bacteria
Description: partial 16S ribosomal RNA
Rfam family: Bacterial small subunit ribosomal RNA
Source: RNAcentral